UGGGCGCUUGGCUCAGUUGGUCAGAGCGGCUGGUUUACACCCAGUAGGUCGGCGGUUCAAAUCCGUCAGCGCCCAA
RNAcentral lists this transfer RNA (76 nucleotides) under Spirochaetes bacterium ADurb.Bin110. RNAcentral describes it as "tRNA-Val". It matches the Rfam family "tRNA". From Rfam's summary of the family: Transfer RNA (tRNA) molecules are approximately 80 nucleotides in length. Their secondary structure includes four short double-helical elements and three loops (D, anti-codon, and T loops). The record is from RNAcentral. Lineage: Bacteria; Pseudomonadati; Spirochaetota.